AAACUCACCGCAUGAAUUUUCUUGUCCCGCGGAUCCAAGAUGGCGACGUAUCCACCGCGGAGGCUGCUGGGAGCAAGACCUUUACCCUCUGACCCCCGUCGUGACCCCCGUCGCUCUAGCUUCCCUUAAGGCGGCAGCGGAAGGUGGGAGCGGCGAUUGCUCAUCGGACACAGGAUUGAGGGAAAGUUUGCAGGACAAUUGUCGUGAGUGUCUAGAGCACUCUGAACUCCGGGCAAGUGAAUCCUCGAGUUAUGACCAGCCUGACAUAAGAACAACUGGGGUUACAACCAGAAUUUUAGGUUUACUUAUGAAGUCUUGAAUUACAACCAGAUUGCUGGCCACUUCUGCAGUUGUAAAUACAGACUUUCAAAGCCAGAAAAAUGAAUAUAAGUCUGUUUGUGGAGACUUCGAAGCAUUAACAUGAUUGGUGACAUCACUAGCCAUUGAUUAAAGUAAUCUCCAAAGAUUCAGGAGGGAGAGGUCUGAAAAAUCCAACCCUGUAGUCACAUGAUUAGGAUCCCCCUGGCAACCAGCUUCUAACCUGAAUCUAUAGAAGCCCACCAGGAGUGACCUCAUCAGGACAAAAGAUUUUUCUGCAUAGUAUUCCCAGGAGCUGACUCUUAUAAUCAUUGUUUCAUGCACCCUCUUGACACUGACAGUGGCUUCUUGCUGAAUCCAGGAAAUGGAAAGAAAAGAAGAAUUGACAAUAGAAUGAAAAGGAGAGGGAAGUAAAUUGAUUAUGUGAUUGGGUGAAUUUGAAGAGAAGAAACUGAGUACUCUCAGCUCUGCACAUCUGGGAUCCCUCACUAUUUUAUUCAAUCUCUCCAUAACAGUUCUGUCAAGAAAUUUUAGUGGCUGUGAGAGAUGUGGAAGUAGAAUUGCAUUUCACCUUCCCUGGCACAUUGGAGGACGAACUUUGCUGCACCGAUUUGACCUCUCUCUGCCUCUCUCCGGGACCUGGUACCAGAAGCCAGGAUUCUAAUUAAAAGGAAAAGCCAAUCCCAACAUGGGUGUGUAAGCUGCACAAGGAAGCAGACGAGGACUUAGUGGACACUGAAGAUGCUUGUCUUGUGCAAACAACAGUGUCUCUCAGAAUCCUAAGGAAAUUAAUGGGAAGAACACACCUCGGCUUGUUACACACCAGAUGCCUCACCUGAAAUCUGAAGACCAGGGAGAGGCUGCUCUAAACAAUUCUUAGAGCCAGAGAAUUCUCUGAAGACAAAGGUUUUUAAGUCCAGUUGAAACAGAGAACUGUACAAUGCAGAGGGAAGAACAGCUGCUAUCCAGUUCUCUAGCCCUCACCCGCAGCCGCUACCCCGUCCCCCAGCUCAGAGAAACUAAUUUCUUACUGUCCUCAGGGACAGAGAUGCCAAAAGCACUCACUUCAGCCAGCAGGUGCCCAGACCAGCAUGGUUAACAUUGUGUGGGAGUUUGUUGGAAAGCCCAUUUUCAGGCCCUACCCACAUCUGCUGCAACAGACUCUGCACUUCAACAUGAUUUCCAGAUUGCCAAGAACGUUAAACGUGACUAAAUCUAAAGGACUGAGCUGUUCCCAGAUGUUUCCACGUAAUCCUCUUCCCAAACUUCUCGAUGAACUCACCAGGCAUGGGGCAAGAACACCAGCCACAGGAGUGGGUUAUUUCUGGAGAGUUUCCUCUGCUCAUGAAGGGACCUUCUGAGAGAAUCUUGACCUUAUAAAAUCUUGUGCUUUUUUUGAGCUAGAAGAACCAAUAAAAUGCAAACCCACAUGUAUACAAUACUACUCCAGCCUUGGGAAAGAUUGUUAAAUCCGAGACUAAAUGUAGGUGCAUGCCAAAGUGGAGUUGAAGUGGAUUUUAAUCUUUCCUGCUCACAGUGCCUGAGGGCAACAGCUAAAGGCAGCAACUCAAAAUGGGAGACUUCUUACCAUAAAUCUGUCCUUCAUUAAAUCCUUGGUAUACAUAAGACACCCAUGAUAGGUGCUCCACCAAAACCUGUUGUGAACUGAGCUGAACUGAACUGAGUUGAAUUGAAUUGAAUUGAAUUGAAUUGAAUUGAAUUGAAUUGAACACUUGAUCAGCUUCCUAAACUGCCAUUAAGGUUUUUAGUAUAACUGUAAACUGGGCCAGAUUCUGGAUAUAUAGGGUAUAGGAACUCCUUGACUUUUGGCUGGCUUAACUGUGUUUUACAAGCACAUGCCAUAAAUCAAACUCACAACCUCGAACUUGCCAGAGAGAAGAGAUGGUAUUGGCUUCACCUGAUUCACAGACAGGGAGAGCCAGAAGAUGAUCGUUUCCUUGAAGAAAAAAUUAAGCUUCUGCUACAACAAGAAGGAGGAAGUCAUACUGCCAGAAAUUUUAAGAGAUUCUCCCAGCCUUUCUCAUCAUGAGCACUUGAAACUUAAUAAGAAGCAAACUUCCUUUGGAAAUGAGAGCCUUUUUCAUUGUAAAAUGGGCAGAGUGACCAAAGACUUAGAGCCUUCGCUCACUGCUCAGAUUUCAUCAUCAGGCCUCCACCAUCAAGAGAGACAACAGAAUCUGUGAUUCAGUCACUGUCCCGGGGCUCGGCUCCCCACCCACUGUCUCCUUGCCAGUUCACUGAGUCACCCAUGCUCCACCCAGUGCGUUCUGCUUUUCCCACAGUUUCCCGGACUCUCCUGGGACAGAUGGCUGCUCUCAGAGCUGAGGAAAAGAGGUGACGUCUUUUAGAAACAAAAGCACCUCUCCAGCCCCGCCCUGUGCACAGCUAGCAGAAGAACUGGCUAAGGAGGUGGGGUGGGGAUUACUCACUUUGCAGUUUCUGCCGCACUGAGGACCAGAUUCUUGGGAGUCUUUUGUUUCUGCUUUUUUUCAAAUGUGCUGGGGAUGUACCUAGGGCCUCAUGCAUGUGAGACAAGUAUUCUACCUCUUAGCUACAUCACUAGCCCAAACAUCACAUUCUUUGUUAUAAAGGAUGGAUUCACUCAUAAUUAUAAAAGAUGGACUCACUUGUACCUUUUGCCAUUUCUCUGUUUAAAACAAACAAACAAAAAUAAAUAAAUUCCUGUAUUAUCCUUUUAGUUCACUGGAUACCAGAUAGCUCAGGGUCUCCUCCUACUCAAAGCUUCCCUUUUUCUGCUUCCCAUUCUCUUUCUUAUUCGUCUGAGAGGCAGCAUUUAUCACCUGCACUCUCCUAGCACAAUGUCAGAGACAUAGUUACAGAGCUUUUCUUAUGAUGUGAUGGCUACCUAGGUGGCUACCUAUCCGCAGUGACUCUUUAAAAAGUCAGCCAUUGCCCAAUGUGUCUCUUAUUAUAUCAGGGUACUGUAUACAGAGGCAGGCACACAGAAAUUCCCACAAAGGUUUAUGCAGUGAGUGAAAGAUUACAUGACUGAAAAUGGACAAACAGCUGUAGACUUCAAGGUGAACAGACUGUUGUAGCUUGGCAUAACUAACGCCAUCUUGUGCCCUGUGUUUGACUUGUGCCCUGUAUUUGACCCAGAAGAGUGAAAAAUUACUCAGGGUACAAGUCCCAUGAGAAAAGCAAAAUGAGCUGCACCCACAAGAGAAAAAAUUAACCUGCUCAACAAAGGAGCAGGAUACAGAUGUCAGCCAAAAUUAAUGUAAGAUUCUAGCUAAAUUGUUUCCAACAGGAUGUCUUGCUUUGUGGUUAUUUGCUUUAAAUGCCCCGUAACCCUCCAGUUCAGGACCACUCGGUUUGACUCUGGAACAUGGGUUUAUGCACAUGGUCGCUGAGCUCAGCUAAUAAAAUUCCAAAAUUUAUCAGUUUGGCUGCUUGGAUUCCUAUAUUGUUUAUGAACCCACUUCACAGAUGAGAGUUCAACAAUAUCGGGAUAGUCUUUGGUAUUUUUGCUUUCAUUUUUUAUGCUUUUAUCUCCAGGAAAUGACUCAGAGUCCUUUUCUUUUUAAUAUAAUCACCAGCAGGUUCCUUAUUGUAGAUAAUUCCAGAUACUGCUUUGAAAACCGACAGCAACCACACUUAACAGGAAAUGUUUUUCAGUAACUAUAGAAGAUGACAGUUCUGAGAUAUUACAUCAAUGAAAAGGCUACAGCAGCCUAAUUACUGACAUAAUGUGUUCAAUGUUUGGAUACAAUAGGAAACAUUCAUUAAAUGCUUUGUGAUUAAUCUGCAAUCAAUUUAGAUGCUUAUGCUCUUGUGCUAUACAGAAUUAAAUGCAGCAAUAUAAAUAUAAAUAAUGAAUAAUAAGCUGUAGGAUUUUGGAAUCCUCUAACAGACAAUGGGCCAUUCAGGUUUUUGUAGUUUCUAUUGAAAGUCAUUUAGAGGUGUUUUAAAUAUAUUUGAAGAAAGAAAUAAUAACAUAAUAAUAAUCCUAUCAUUCCAAAGAGUAGUAAUAAAAAUAAUCAUAGUAAAAGAGGGAGAGGAAUUCAAAUCUGUCUUAGUAUACCUUCUUGCUUUACUCCCUGGUAAAUAAAGAAGACAAUGUUUCCA
Cavia porcellus (domestic guinea pig) is the source of this 4428-nucleotide long non-coding RNA. RefSeq lists it as uncharacterized. The transcript has 13 exons. NCBI's taxonomy places the organism in Eukaryota, Metazoa, Chordata, Mammalia, Rodentia, Caviidae. The record is from RefSeq and is a predicted model, not a curated record.